This 253-nucleotide ribosomal RNA is filed under the name uncultured bacterium. RNAcentral's name for it is "partial 16S ribosomal RNA". It matches the Rfam family "Bacterial small subunit ribosomal RNA", at positions 524 to 776 of the family's 1533-position model. The record is from RNAcentral.
UACGUAGGGGGCAAGCGUUGUCCGGAAUUACUGGGCGUAAAGCGCGCGUAGGCGGCUAUUCAAGUCAGAGGUGAAAGCCCGGGGCUCAACCCCGGAACUGCCUUUGAAACUAGAUAGCUAGAAUUUUGGAGAGGCGAGUGGAAUUCCGAGUGUAGAGGUGAAAUUCGUAGAUAUUCGGAAGAACACCAGUGGCGAAGGCGACUCGCUGGACAAGUAUUGACGCUGAGGUGCGAAAGCGUGGGGAGCAAACAGG